CCAAUAGCGUAUAUUAAAGUUGUUGCAGUUAAAAAGCUCGUAGUUGAAUUUCGGGGUUAGUAGGUUGGUCAUGCCUCUGGUAUGUACCGGUCUCACUGAUUCCUCCUUCCUGAUGAGCCGUAAUGCCAUUAAUUUGGUGUUGCGGGGAAUUUGGACUGUUACUUUGAAAAAAUUAGAGUGUUUAAAGCAGGCUAACGCUUGAAUACAUUAGCAUGGAAUAAUGAAAUAGGACGUUCGAUCCUAUUUUGUUGGUUUCUAGGAUUGACGUAAUGAUUAAUAGGGAUAGUUGGGGGCAUUAGUAUUCAAUUGUCAGAGGUGAAAUUCUUGGAUUUAUUGAAGACUAACUACUGCGAAAGCAUUUGCCAAGGAUGUUUUCAUUAAUCAAGAACGAAAGUUAGGGGAUCGAAGACGAUCAGAUACCGUCGUAGUCUUAACCAUAAACUAUGCCGACUAGGGAUCGGAUGAUGUUAAUUUUUUAAUGACUCAUUCGGCGCCUUACG
This 500-nucleotide ribosomal RNA is filed under the name uncultured Glomeromycotina. Its description in RNAcentral is "partial small subunit ribosomal RNA". It matches the Rfam family "Eukaryotic small subunit ribosomal RNA", at positions 591 to 1092 of the family's 1831-position model. Lineage: Eukaryota; Fungi; Glomeromycota. The record is from RNAcentral.